CGCGGCCUAUCAGCUUGUUGGUGAGGUAACGGCUCACCAAGGCGACGACGGGUAACCGGCCUGAGAGGGUGACCGGUCACACUGGGACUGAGACACGGCCCAGACUCCUACGGGAGGCAGCAGUGGGGAAUAUUGCACAAUGGGCGCAAGCCUGAUGCAGCAACGCCGCGUGAGGGAUGACGGCCUUCGGGUUGUAAACCUCUUUUAGCAGGGAAGAAGCGAAAGUGACGGUACCUGCAGAAAAAGCACCGGCUAACUACGUGCCAGCAGCCGCGGUAAUACGUAGGGUGCAAGCGUUGUCCGGAAUUAUUGGGCGUAAAGAGCUCGUAGGCGGUUUGUCGCGUCUGCUGUGAAAAUCCGAGGCUCAACCUCGGACCUGCAGUGGGUACGGGCAAACUAGAGUGCGGUAGGGGAGAUUGGAAUUCCUGGUGUAGCGGUGGAAUGCGCAGAUAUCAGGAGGAACACCAAUGGCGAAGGCAGAUCUCUGGGCCGUAACUGACGCUGAGGAGCGAAAGCGUGGGGAGCGAACAGGAUUAGAUACCCUGGUAGUCCACGCCGUAAACGAUGGGCACUAAGCGUCCGACGGGUUCGACCCUGUUGGGUGCUGCAGUUAACGCGUUAAGUGCCCCGCCUGGGGAGUACGG
Molecule: ribosomal RNA, 644 nt
Filed under: uncultured Actinomycetes bacterium
Lineage: Bacteria; Bacillati; Actinomycetota; Actinomycetes
Description: bacterial SSU rRNA
Rfam family: Bacterial small subunit ribosomal RNA
Source: RNAcentral